UGUCUAUUUAUGGCUUGAUGCUUUCCGGAAAUGGACCAUUCACCAGCAACCUCAGUUCGGUUUGGAUCACAUGAAACACAAUACAACUUGGCGGUUCAUCUCUCCUGCAGAAGACACACCAAACUUCUGCAUGAAGAACCAGACCUCGACAACACAUUUACCACUAUGUCACAGACUAAGGUCAGAAGUACCUAUUCUUGCAGUAGCAAAAGGUGGAGUCAAUUCGUACCAGUGCAAGUAUCCAACACACCAUUAUACCAUUAUAAGUAUCCAACACACCAUUUAGGUUUUGCACAACCAUGAAACUAUUAAGAUGGUAUCUUAAAAUGAAGACAGAGAUCUUCCUUCAUUACUGAACGGUGCAACAAGAGCGAGAGAUAAAGAGAUAGAUCUUCCUCUCUCUCUCUCAAUUACCACACACGGUAUAGUUAUUGGAGGCAAGUAAAUUGUCUACUGUUUCAUGUACUAAAGCAUAGUAAGUGUGAUGUACCUAUUAAUAUACUAUGAAUAUUGUGUAAUGUA
Long non-coding RNA from Neltuma alba, 522 nucleotides. RefSeq lists it as uncharacterized. The record is from RefSeq and is a predicted model, not a curated record. Lineage: Eukaryota; Viridiplantae; Streptophyta; Magnoliopsida; Fabales; Fabaceae. The transcript has 2 exons.